GAUGAACGCUGGCGGCGUGCCUAAUACAUGCAAGUCGAACGCGCAGCGAAAGGUGCUUGCACCUUUCAAGCGAGUGGCGAACGGGUGAGUAACACGUGGAUAACCUGCCUCAAGGCUGGGGAUAACAUUUGGAAACAGAUGCUAAUACCGAAUAAAACUUAGUAUCGCAUGAUACAAAGUUAAAAGGCGCUACGGCGUCACCUAGAGAUGGAUCCGCGGUGCAUUAGUUAGUUGGUGGGGUAAAGGCUUACCAAGACAAUGAUGCAUAGCCGAGUUGAGAGACUGAUCGGCCACAUUGGGACUGAGACACGGCCCAAACUCCUACGGGAGGCUGCAGUAGGGAAUCUUCCACAAUGGGCGCAAGCCUGAUGGAGCAACGCCGCGUGUGUGAUGAAGGCUUUCGGGUCGUAAAGCACUGUUGUAUGGGAAGAAAUGCUAAAAUAGGGAAUGAUUUUAGUUUGACGGUACCAUACCAGAAAGGGACGGCUAAAUACGUGCCAGCAGCCGCGGUAA
RNAcentral lists this ribosomal RNA (513 nucleotides) under uncultured bacterium. RNAcentral describes it as "partial 16S ribosomal RNA". It matches the Rfam family "Bacterial small subunit ribosomal RNA", at positions 28 to 523 of the family's 1533-position model. The record is from RNAcentral.